CUCUCCACAGUCGUUAUGACCCUUUGCAGAGCCUUCCUCUCUGCCUGUGUAGUGUUCCCAUACCAGACAGUGAUGCUUGUGGUGCAGCUCCGAAGCCGUUUGUUGGGAUCCUGAACAUCACAGAGUACAGGGUGCAGCUGAGGUGUGAGGUCAGAGGUGUGUCUCCGAAGCCUAGAGUAGAGUGGAGGGACAGCGAUGGAAACAUCCUUCGUGCUGAGGAGCCACAGGUGUCACACAGAGACGGCCGCUAUGACAUCACCCUCCUCACCACGGUGACCAGGACAAACACCAACCUCUUCCACUGCGUGGCCACACAGGAGGAGAUCGGCCAUGUGACUGAAGAAGAGAUCCUUGUUCCAGAUCAGCUGUUCGAGUCCUGCGAUGGAGUCGCUGUGAUCGUUUCUGUAUUGGCUUCUGGAUUCUCUGUCACUAUAUUUGCGUCUCUGUUGCUGUUCUCAGCUUGUAUUAAAUGUUGUUGAUAACAGACAGCAGAUACUUUCAUCUGUCCUUUUUAUUCUCUGCUGUUCUGUUUCCUCUGGUUUUACGGCUGAUGUGUUAUUUAUACCAACAUUGUAUUUAUGAAAAAUAAAGUUGGGUAAAUGAUGACUCAG
Molecule: long non-coding RNA, 611 nt
Organism: Oreochromis aureus
Lineage: Eukaryota; Metazoa; Chordata; Actinopteri; Cichliformes; Cichlidae
Source: Ensembl